This 253-nucleotide ribosomal RNA is filed under the name uncultured bacterium. Its description in RNAcentral is "partial 16S ribosomal RNA". It matches the Rfam family "Bacterial small subunit ribosomal RNA", at positions 524 to 776 of the family's 1533-position model. The record is from RNAcentral.
UACGGAGGGUGCAAACGUUGCUCGGAAUCAUUGGGCGUAAAGCGCACGUAGGUAGUUUGUUAAGUCGGGUGUGAAAGCCCUGGGCUCAACCCAGGAAGUGCACUCGAAACUGGCAGACUUGAGUACUGAAGAGGGUCGCGGAAUUCCCGGUGUAGAGGUGAAAUUCGUAGAUAUCGGGAGGAACACCAGUGGCGAAGGCGGCGACCUGGGCAGAUACUGACACUGAGGUGCGAAAGCGUGGGGAGCAAACAGG